Molecule: RNA transcript, 5313 nt
Organism: Loxodonta africana (African savanna elephant)
Lineage: Eukaryota; Metazoa; Chordata; Mammalia; Proboscidea; Elephantidae
Gene: PPCDC
Gene name: phosphopantothenoylcysteine decarboxylase
Exons: 7
Source: RefSeq, a predicted model, not a curated record
GACUGCUAAAAUAUCGCGAGACUUGGGAGCUACCUCGAGACGAGCGUGGCGCGGGUGCUAAAUCCUGACAGAACCUGACAGAGGCUAGGACUGGUGGGCUCCCAGGACUCAAAGCCACUGGAAGCCACAUGGAACCAGGAGCCUCAUGUCAAGCUGCUGCACCAUUGGUGGAGAGGAAAUUCCAUGUUCUUGUGGGUGUCACCGGGAGUGUCGCGGCCCUGAAGUUGCCCCUUCUGGUGUCAGGCCUUUUGGAGAUUCCUGGGCUGGAAGUAGCAGUGGUCACAACUGAGAGAGCCAAACAUUUCUACAGCCCCCAGGAUGUUCCUGUCACCCUCUACAGCGACGCUGAUGAAUGGGAGAUGUGGAAGUGCCGCUCUGACCCAGUUCUCCACAUUGACCUGCGCAGGUGGGCAGACCUCAUGCUAGUAGCACCUCUGGAUGCCAACACUCUCGGGAAGGUGGCCAGUGGUAUCUGUGACAACUUGCUUACCUGUGUCAUCCGGGCCUGGGAUCGCAGCAAGCCCCUGCUCUUCUGUCCUGCCAUGAACACCGCCAUGUGGGAGCACCCCAUCACUGCACAGCAGGUGGGCCAGCUCAAGGCCUUCGGCUAUGUCGAGAUCCCCUGUGUUGCCAAGACGCUGGUGUGUGGAGACCAAGGUCUGGGGGCCAUGGCUGAGGUUGGAACCAUUGUGGACAAAGUGAAAGAAAUCCUCUCUCAGCACGAUGGCUUCCAGCAGAGUUGAACCAGGAUUUCUGGCACGUGUGUCCCUUUGCAGUCAAUGUUGGUGAAGAAGGCUGGCAUGAUACAGUGAAGACGCCCUAGUUUGCUGAGGAGGGUUCUGACCUGGACCUGCUCCAGAGCCUCCCGGGGUCUCGCCUGCCCCAGGUUAAACUGGAUUGAAGACCUAAGUCCCAGCUUCUUUCAACCAAAAGACACCUGCUGUCUGGAGCCCUACCCCACCUCCUAGGGCCUGGUGGGCACCUUACAUGCCCUGAGAGAACUGAGUAGAGGUGUCCUCGAGGGAACCAGUGUUGGCUGGAACCAAGGCCUCCUGUCAGCCUCCAAGAACCUUUAUUUCAACUGCACUUGACUUAACCAAGUGACCUUUGGGGAUAAAAUUGUCUUAGGACACUGAAGAAGAUAUAACUAAAGUGGAAGCAUCAAGAGCCAACCUCUGGGAACACAACAGAGAAUCCCUGAUGAAGCAGGAGAACAGUGGAAUGCAGAUCUCAAAUUCUCUUAAAAAGACCAGCCUAAAUGGUCUGACUGAGACUGGAGGGACCCUGACAGUCAUGGUCUCUGGACCCUUUGUUAGCCAAAGAUUGGAACCAUUCCUGAAGCCAACUCUACUGACAGGGAUUGGCCUGGACUAUAAGAUAGACAAUGAUACUGGUGAGGAGUGAGCUUCUUGGCACAAGUAGACACUUGAGACUAUGUGGGCAACUCCUGUCUGGUGGUGAGAGGAGAAGAAAGAGGGGGACAGGAGCUGGUUAAAUGGACGCGGGGAAUACAGAGUGGAGAGGAGGAAUGUGUUGCCUCAUUAAGGCAGAGCAGCUAGGAGUACACAGUGGGGUAUGUAUAACUUUUUGUAUGAGAGACUGACUUGAUUUGUAAACUUUCACCUAAAGCACAAUUUAAAAAAAAAAAACAACCUCUGGCUGGUUUGGGGGUUGAGGGCAUGGGGAGAGUCUGGAUAACUGAAGUCCAGAGACAAUCCCAAAUUCCAUUUAAAUUGUUUCAAACUUGCCGUCUCUCUUCUUUGCCCUUCCUGUCCUUCAGCAACCUGCUAACGAAUGGUGGGGUGACCAUUUCCUGGUUGCUUUCUGCAGGCGAGGCUCUUUGCUGGGCACUUUAGGGAGGACAGUUGCCCAGGGAGAUCAGCUAUAAGAUGCUUAUUUUAAAAGGCUUCGGUGGGCCAUGGGAACAGAGACAUUUGCAGGCCCUAGGUUGGUACCUUUGAAAACAGCUGUACUACUCAGAGCAACAUAGAGGCUCUUGGCUAGAAGGAAAAAUGUCUCUAGAGCUGGAGGCUCCAACCCUGGGGGUCUGUCACUGUGUCUCCCACUCACGUGGUCCUGCAUCUGUGUUGCCCACCUUGAAUAGUAGGGGAAGGGUUGGGUAAAUGGACAUAGGCUAGGGCUGAAGAGCCCAGGUGUUCCCUGAGCCAGACAGAAGCUAAGAGGACAUGGCUGCUAGAGUCUGAACUGUAUUUCCCUGGCCCCGUUUGCUAAUGGAGUGCUGGGGUGGGGUGCUAACCGUGGCUGUUCCCACUAGGAGUCAAAGCUUUUGAAGUUGUCAUCAUCUUGAAUAGACAUGUUUCUCAGGCACUAGCUUCCCUGACAAUUUUUAUGGAAUUCUGAAAGUAUGACACAAUAGGACAUUUUGACAAAAUAGGAAGUCUGUAGUUCCUUUUGUCUGGCAGCCUGGAGCAUCUCUCUUCAGCCAUGGCUGCUGGCGGAUGCCCCCAACCUGGUGCUCUGCCUCCACACCAGGCUGUCUCCUCCAACUCUUCCUCCACAUGACCCGCCAUGUCCCUUUGCUGCCUCCCCACUAGCUCAGGGUAAGGUCCUAACUCCUGGGCAGUACUCACUAGGCCCUUUGUGAUCUGGCUGUUUCCUACCUUUCUGUUGUUAGCUGCUAUUGAGUCCGCUUCCAAUUCAUAGUGACCCCAUGUACAACAGAACGAACACUGCCCAGUCCUGCACCAUCCUCGCGAUCAGUCGUGGAUUUGACUGUUGUGAUCCAAAGGGUUACGCUGACUAAUUUUUGGAAGUAGAUCACCAGGCCUUUCUUGUAGUCUGUCUUGGUCUGGAAGCUCCACUGAAACCUGUUCAGCACCAUAGCAACGUGUGAGCCUCUAUCCACAGACGGGUGGUGGCUGCGCUUGAGGUGCACUGGCCGGGAAUCAAAACUGGGUCUUCCCCACAGAAGGCAAGAAUUCUACCGCUGAACCGCCACUGCCCCUGGCCUACCUUUCAAGCUCCCCCUCCCUUUAUCAGAUGCUGACCCUGCAGGGCUCCCUCCCCUUGCCAGACUGAACAGCCUUGAAGAAGCCACAUUACUUCUUGCUUCCUGCCUCUGCACAUGCUGCUGCCUUUACUGGAGGGUGACACAUGGCUGAUUCCACACAGCCUCCUAAUGUACCUGGGUGUUGCCGCCUGUGGGAAGCCUCCUCUGGCUGGAUUAGAUGGCCCUUGCCCAGGUUCCCAUUGUACCUCCUGCUAUUUAUUAUAACAUGGAAUUGUAAUUGGCAGUUUACUUUGUGUCCCCCUAAAAUUGGGAUCUCCUGGAGGCCGGGAGUUGUUCUGUUCCUCUCUGUGCCUGUCACAACCCAGCGAGCCAUUCCAAGCUUGUUGUACUGACAAAAAUGGGUGUCAGGGUGUCCUGUUCCUUUCUGAGCAAAACACAAAACCUAGGAGCCAUGAAAGCAAAGAUUGAUAAAUUUGGCCGCAAAAAAUGAACAGUUCUGCCUAGCAGUAGCUCACAAACAAGGUCAAAAGACAAACAAACUGGAGACAACAUCUUCACCGCAUAGCAAAGGACUAAUUCCCUGAAUAUGUAAAGAGCUCCUGUAUUAUUGAUAGGAGCCCUGAUGGCACAGUGGUUAAGUGUUUGGCUGCUAACCAGAAAGGCUGGCACUUUGAAACUACCAGCUGCUCCUUGGAAACCCUGUGGGGCAGUUCUACUCUGUCUUAACAGGGUUGCUGUGAGUCGGAAUCAGUGGCAUCGGGUUUUUUUUUUUUUUUUUUUUUACUAUAUUGAUUAGAAAAAGACUUAAGAACACAGAAGAAAAGUGAGCAGAGGAUAAAAACAGAGUUCACAGAUUAAAAAAAACUUAAAAAGCCACUCAGCCACAUUCAUGAGGAGAGCAAUGCAAGCCAAAGUACUGAAAUGAAAGCCUUCACCUAUCAGAUUGCUGAGGGUGUGGGGAACUGGCUGUGUCAUGCAUUGCUGGUGCCUAUAGGCGCCAAGUCGAUUUUGACUCAUAAUUACCCUGGUAGGACAGAAUAGAACUAUAGGAUUUCCAAGCCUGCAAUCUUUGUGGAAGCAAACUGCCACAUACUUCUCCCGAGGAGCCACUGGUGGGUUCGAACUGCUGACCUUUCUGUUUGCUGCCGAGCUGUUAACCACUGUGCCACUAGGGCUCCUCCUACAUUGCUGGUAGGAGUGUAACUUGAUAUAAUGACCUCUUUGGAGAACAAUCUGGAAAUAUCCAUCAAACUUACAUGUUUGACUCAACAAUUCUAUUUGGUUGUACAAUGGUUAGUGCUUGGCUGCUAACUGAAAGGUUGGUGGUUUAAACUCACCCAGUGGUUCCACAGUAGAAAGAUGUGGUAUCUUAGUUGUCUAGUAUUGCUGUAACAGAAAUACCUCAAGUGGAUAGCUUUAACGAACAGAAAUGUAUUCUCUCACAGUUGAGGAGGGUUGAAGUCCAAAUUCAGGCACCAGCUUCAGGGGAAGGCUUUCUCUCUCUCUCUGCUCUGGGGGAAAGUUCUUGUCAUCAAUCUUCCCCUGGGUCUAGGGUCCAGGAGUUUCUCAGCGCAAGGACCCUGGAUCCAAAGGACGUGCUCUGCUCUUUUUUCUUGGUGGUAUGAGGUCCCCCUCACUUCUCUCUCCUUUUAUCUCUUGUAAGAUAAAAGGUGAUGCAGGUCACACCCCAGAGAAACUCCCCUUACAUCAGAUCAGAGCUGUGACCUGAUUAAGGGUGUCGUAUCCCACCCUAAUCCUCUUUAACAAAGUCUAAUCUCGCCUCAUCAGUCACAGGCAGAGAUUAGGAUUUACAACACAUAGGAUGAUUACAUGAGACAAUUACAAAAUGGAAGACCGCCACACAAUACUCGGAAUCAUGACCUAGCCAAAUUCACACAUAUUUUGGGGGGACACAAUUCAAUCUAUGAUACCUGGCCAUCUGUUCUUGUAAAGAUUACAACCUAGAAAACCCUGUGGGGCAGUUCUACUGUGUCACAUGGGGUUUCUAUGAAUCAGAAUUGACAACACCUAACAACAACAACAACAGCAAUUCUACUUCUAGGAAAUUUGUCCCACAAAUAUUCUCACUAUAUAACACUAUUGUGUAUGAGCAAGACUAUUUAUUGCAGCACUGUAUCUGGUAGUAAAAACCUGGAAACGCCCUCACUGUCUGACAACGGGAUUGGUUAAGUAAGUUACUAUUCAUUCAUAUACUGGACUACUACACAGCCACAAAACAAAGUAUGAGGAAGCUUUCUGUGUGCUGAUAUGAGAUGAUUAGUGAGAUAAAUUGGUAAAAACAAAACAAAAAGAAAAAAAAAAAACCCAGGUGCAGAACAAUG